Molecule: long non-coding RNA, 231 nt
Filed under: Gossypium barbadense (sea-island cotton)
Lineage: Eukaryota; Viridiplantae; Streptophyta; Magnoliopsida; Malvales; Malvaceae
Description: long non-coding RNA (GBAR_LNC005142)
Source: RNAcentral
CGGCAUACUGAUCAGGCACUUAUGUGCCGACUACUGUUACUGUUACCGUUACUGUUAUCGAUUCGACACUUUGUGUGUCGAAUACUGUUACCGUUACUGUUAUAGAUUUAGCACUUUGUGUGUUGAAUACUGUUACUGUUACUGCUACUGCUACCAUUACUGAUUACUGAUUAGGUACUGUGUACCUUUAAGGCACAUUGUGUGGUACUGGUGUGUUGGUUGGAAUCCGUG